Molecule: long non-coding RNA, 1324 nt
Filed under: Oreochromis niloticus (Nile tilapia)
Lineage: Eukaryota; Metazoa; Chordata; Actinopteri; Cichliformes; Cichlidae
Description: lncRNA (ENSONIG00000024993.2)
Source: RNAcentral
UUUUUCACAAAAAUCCUUCAUUAGAUUGUUUUAUAGCUGCUGCUGAUUUCAGGCCAAUGCAACUGCUUUGGUAAAGAGAUGAUCCUAACUAGCCAAAUAUCUACAACAUUCUAGUUUUUACUGAGAAAAAUAAUGAGCUUGUUUAUAAAAUAUAUUUUACUAUUUAUAAUAAAAACCCUACAAAAUCUGAAAAUACUGUAAGUAAACAGUGGAAAAUUAUGAUUUAAAUUCUAGUACUCUGCUGGUUGCUGAGGUGGAGAAACAACACUCUAUUGUGUUCCUAACUGUUAUAAACAUUUCUUAUCCACUUGUGCUAACAGCACUUGAAUUUAUGUGUUCAGACUGUUGUAGGGUACUUAUCCAGAACAUUUCUCAAGACGUCCUGUAUUCCACAUUGACGCCAUAUGACCAACAGUGAAUUAUUCUGUUUCACUGCUCUGUUGCAGGUUUGGAUGGUUGGAUGUGUUCAGAACCAAGCAGAUGUUGUUUUGACCUCGAGGUCUCUUUUAGUUACUUAGUGGAGAGAAGGUAGCUCCAAAGAGUUUUAGAAACGUAUGAAUUUGGAGAAAGGACUAAUGUGAGAAAGUCAGAUUUAUUUUUCUGGAGAUGGUCAGAGAGCAAGGAAGGCUUCCGAAAACGGUUGCUCGAGCUCCAGAUGAGGUGAAUGACGUAAGGUAGGAGUUCAGGAUCAAAGUUCCCUGCUACAAUGGAAGCAAGAAGGCAAACAAAUACACCCUCAUCAAUCAAGGAAUCACUGCACACCCCCACUACCCAGAGGGGCCUGCAGAGCGGUGGCUGUGCAACGACUGUCUCCAACUGCACUGGCAUGUGUCCCCCUGUGUGCAUUCAGUGUGUAUGCGUGUAUAUCCCACUUCUAAACCGUGGCUCAGCAAAGGGGUUACAGCUGCAUGCGCACAUGCUUCUGCAAGUUUGUUCACAUGAAAGUCGUGCCGGGUAGGCUCGACAUUAAAAACCUGAGCAUGAACCACACCACUCGACAGCCUUUCCGCCGCUCCAAAGGUCAGAUUAUAUCCGACUAUUAGUGGCUUGUAUAAUGGAUCUCGUUAGAUCUUAUUGCAGAACAAAGUUUUGAGCUCUCCAGAAAUCUCUAAGUUUGGAAGUUUAUUUUUUGCUAAUAUAAAAUUGAACAUUUAAAAUGUUUUCCUAUGUUCAAAGAGGUAUUAUUAUGUGGAGCUAAGCAAAAAGGAACGAACUGGAUAUAUGGAAUACCACAGAGUGGCAUGUUUUUUUUCUUGUAUCUGCAGUAAAAUCACUACAUUAUGUUUGUGGGCGGCUGUGGGGCUGAAUCAAAAUAAAAGUAAAU